CCUACGGGGGGCUGCAGUGGGGAAUAUUGCACAAUGGGCGAAAGCCUGAUGCAGCAACGCCGCGUGCGGGAUGACGGCCUUCGGGUUGUAAACCGCUUUCACCAGGGGCGAAUGUAGACGGUACCUGGGGAAGAAGCACCGGCUAACUACGUGCCAGCAGCCGCGGUGAUACGUAGGGUGCGAGCGUUGUCCGGAUUUAUUGGGCGUAAAGGGCUCGUAGGCGGGCUGCUUUGCGCUUCGUGAAAUCCCUCGGCUUAACCGAGGAAUUGCGGGGCGAACGGGCGGUCUUGAGGCAGGUAGGGGCGCGGAGAACUCUUGGUGGAGCGGUGGAAUGCGUAGAUAUCAAGAGGAAUGCCGGAGGCGAAGGCGCUGCGCUGGGCCUGUCCUGACGCUGAGGUGCGAAAGCCAGGGGAGCAAACGGGAUUAGAUACCCCAGUAGUC
This 441-nucleotide ribosomal RNA is filed under the name uncultured Actinomycetales bacterium. RNAcentral describes it as "bacterial SSU rRNA". It matches the Rfam family "Bacterial small subunit ribosomal RNA", at positions 338 to 795 of the family's 1533-position model. The record is from RNAcentral. Lineage: Bacteria; Bacillati; Actinomycetota; Actinomycetes; Actinomycetales.